RNAcentral lists this ribosomal RNA (198 nucleotides) under uncultured bacterium. RNAcentral describes it as "partial 16S ribosomal RNA". It matches the Rfam family "Bacterial small subunit ribosomal RNA", at positions 336 to 527 of the family's 1533-position model. The record is from RNAcentral.
CUCCUACGGGAGGCAGCAGUGGGGAAUAUUGCACAAUGGGGGAAACCCUGAUGCAGCCAUGCCGCGUGUGUGAAGAAGGCCUUCGGGUUGUAAAGCUCUUUCAGCGAGGAGGAAAGGUCAGGAGCUAAUAUCUGGUGGGUGUGACGUUACUCGCAGAAGAAGCACCGGCUAACUCCGUGCCAGCAGCCGCGGUAAUUG